Molecule: transfer RNA, 73 nt
Filed under: Boops boops
Lineage: Eukaryota; Metazoa; Chordata; Actinopteri; Spariformes; Sparidae
Description: tRNA-Leu
Source: RNAcentral
AUUUGGGUGGCAGAGCCCGGCAUUGCAAAAGCGCUAAGUACUUUAAACAGAGGUUCAAGUCCUCUCCCUUUUA